GUGAGUAACACGUGGGUAACCUGCCCUUGAAGUAGGGGAUAACACUUGGAAACAGGUGCUAAUACCGUAUAACAACCAAAACCACCUGGUUUUGGUUUAAAAGACGGCUUCGGCUGUCACUUUAGGAUGGACCCGCGGCGUAUUAGCUUGUUGGUAAGGUAACGGCCUACCAAGGCGAUGAUACGUAGCCGACCUGAGAGGGUAAUCGGCCACAUUGGGACUGAGACACGGCCCAAACUCCUACGGGAGGCAGCAGUAGGGAAUCUUCCACAAUGGACGAAAGUCUGAUGGAGCAACGCCGCGUGAGUGAUGAAGGGUUUCGGCUCGUAAAACUCUGUUGUUGGAGAAGAACAGGUGUCAGAGUAACUGUUGACAUCUUGACGGUAUCCAACCAGAAAGCCACGGCUAACUACGUGCCAGCAGCCGCGGUAAUACGUAGGUGGCAAGCGUUGUCCGGAUUUAUUGGGCGUAAAGCGAGCGCAGGCGGUUUUUUAGGUCUGAUGUGAAAGCCUUCGGCUUAACCGGAGAAGUGCAUCGGAAACCGGGAGACUUGAGUGCAGAAGAGGACAGUGGAACUCCAUGUGUAGCGGUGAAAUGCGUAGAUAUAUGGAAGAACACCAGUGGCGAAAGCGGCUGUCUGGUCUGUAACUGACGCUGAGGCUCGAAAGCAUGGGUAGCGAACAG
Molecule: ribosomal RNA, 684 nt
Filed under: Lentilactobacillus buchneri
Lineage: Bacteria; Bacillati; Bacillota; Bacilli; Lactobacillales; Lactobacillaceae
Description: bacterial SSU rRNA
Rfam family: Bacterial small subunit ribosomal RNA
Source: RNAcentral